UGCCAGUGGCCAAUGGUUGGGUACGGGGGGGGGGGUGAGAGACACUUAGAGUUGUCCAGGUAAGAUGCAGAAAGGAAUAGGAGAUCACCAUGAAAAGGAUGGGAUACAGGAGCAACAGUAUAUAAAGCCAACCAGCUACAUAAGAUUUUGGUCUCCACAGUCACAUGGGCCAAUUCCUACUUCCUAGUGAAAUUUUACAGAAAUUUGGAGACUCUAAUAUCUUGCACAGUUCCUAUUAAGAACACUCCUGCUGAAUUUCAGAGAGGCACAGUGGAGAACUUUUCCAGCCAUCGCUCCCUGGUCCCUCCUGCUGACCUGUGUGGAGGCUGAGGCCUGGCUGUUCUUGCUAGGUCAUGCUACUGCUGCUGCUGACCCAACUCUACUGAAUUGGAUUGCUGAUAUUUCCAUGAAGUAUUUGCGACUGAAUCGAACUGCUGCUGCAGACCUGUGAACUUAACUGCUGAUUUUCUGACAACACAGAUGGGAAUUGCUCCAAAGAACCAUUUCUAAACAGGUCCAUUU
This is a long non-coding RNA of Mus caroli (Ryukyu mouse), 522 nucleotides long. RefSeq lists it as uncharacterized. NCBI's taxonomy places the organism in Eukaryota, Metazoa, Chordata, Mammalia, Rodentia, Muridae. The record is from RefSeq and is a predicted model, not a curated record.